This 212-nucleotide ribosomal RNA is filed under the name uncultured bacterium. Its description in RNAcentral is "partial 16S ribosomal RNA". It matches the Rfam family "Bacterial small subunit ribosomal RNA", at positions 1289 to 1500 of the family's 1533-position model. The record is from RNAcentral.
CAGUUCGGAUUGCAGGCUGNAACCCGCCUGCAUGAAGCCGGAAUCGCUAGUAAUCGCGGAUCAGAAUGCCGCGGUGAAUACGUUCCCGGGUCUUGUACACACCGCCCGUCACACCAUGGGAGUCGGGAAUGCCCGAAGUCAGUGGCCCAACCGGAAGGGGGGAGCUGCCGAAGGCAGGCCCGGUGACUGGGGUGAAGUCGUAACAAGGUAGC